UUGUCUUGUAGUAAAGUCAACUGAAAGACUGUAAUUGUAGAGGACGUAUUAUUAAUUAUUAUUAUUUAUCAUUAUUAUUUAAUAUUAUUAUUUAAUUAUUAUUAUUAAAGGCUCCUUUUUUUACAUAAAGGGCCGAGAAUUAAUUCCCAUUUAAUCAAGCUAAUUUAUAUUAACUGAACAAUAGAUGAGAUGAUGAUGAUAAUGAUGAUGAUAACUGACUGGCAUACGACAUUGUCCCGCGACGAGAGAUUCGAAUGGGAGAGCACUCGUAUUUUAUAUCACUUAUUUCCCUUUACACAAAUUCAGGAGGUCGCGGGCUGAUGGCUGUCAAAUUCCUUUGCGCGUCAUGACGUGAUGCAGUUCAUAAGAGGCGUCACAUGGUCACAUGACUUCCAUAGAUCUAAAACCACAUAAUUCGAACUGGAAAACUGCAGUCAAAUCAAUAUCAAAACACAAUUUAUUGGUUCCUGAAUAUCUUCUCAAGUAGUUGGAAACAUGAGCCAAAGACCCGAAGCUUCCCAGAGGAAGCGAAAGGCGAGACGGGGUGGUAGCAGCGAGGAUGAGGCUCACUGCUCACAUCAACAAGCACCUCUACCACGAGGACGUCCUCCAGCGAGACGACGACGAGGACGUCCUCCAGUGACACAAGCACGAGGACGUCCUCCAGCGACACAAGCACGAGGACGUCCUCCAGCGACACAAGCACGAGGACGUCCUCCAGUGACACAAGCACGAGGACGUCCUCCAGCGACACAAGCACGAGGACGUCCUCCAGCGACACAAGCACGAGGACGUCCUCCAGCGAGACGACGACGAGGACGUCCUCCAGCGACACAACCACGAGGACGUCCUACAGCAGCUCGCCACAAGGGCGUCCAAGUGUCUAGUUUUCCUAGCUAAGAACGAGAGAUAUUGCGCCCUGAUAUUAAGAUUUGGAACAAAAUAACCACAAGGAGCAAGAACUGGGAAUUGGAAAGUGCUGUAAAUAGUUUUAUUUGCGAAAACACACCCACGCAACCUCUCUCCACCCCGGUCCUCCCACAGAAACAUUGCCUUUCAGUACCUUCUACUUUGUACUUACUGGAAGUUUUAUUUCACGUGACUUUGCACCUGAUCGUUGGGGUGAGAGAAUAUCACAUCUAAUUAUUUUAUUUGCGAGCUCUGUGACUAACACACGGUUGACUGAGGCAGGUGUGAACACGCACAUGCGAGCGCGCCUCUUACAGCUUGAGAUGUCUUCUGUGAACUUCCGACUCCAACAUAAGUUUUAUUCUAAAAUUUGAUGAACGAGAUAAAACGAUGAUUGUACAGGCGCCACACCCUACAUACACUGACCUGGCGCUUAACCUACAGUACAUAGGAUUUCAGAGAGAGCGAGGGGUAGAAAGUCAUCCGUUCACAAACACUGUGGUACAUUAAAAUCGUGUGAGCAAAAUAUGUCCAGACCUGUACAACAACAACAACAGUGUCAAAAUCAGUUUGAAGUCUCCGCAUGCAAACCCAGCAUGUUGUUAUGAUUUAAAAUGUUUAUUUAUUUAGAAUCAUCCAUUCUUCACUUGGUUCGUGCAUUUUGAAUGUUUAUUUUUCUCUAAUGCAUCUUUUCUCAAUUAAUUUUAUCUCUAUCUUGUGAUGUUUAAGUCUCAAAAAAUAACUUCAAGUAGCCAUUAAUCUUCUGGAAGAUGAUAACAAAAUAAAUGUUCAUGAUGUGACCAGGUCCGGCACGUUAGCGUGAGUAGAGAUCGACUUAAAUGGUUGAAAUGAUGUCACUUUAUACCUGUACCCAAGUGGUAAAAUUUCCUGGAAAAUUUAAAAUAAUGAGAUAAGAAUUUUGUCUGUAAUUUUAUAGCAUUUGGCUAAUCAAGUAUUAUCAAUACAUAUAAAUACAAACUUAAUAUAACACAUUCUGUUUGCAUCACUUUUACAGUAGUAAAUAUGAACACCACAGGAAGAAUUCCAGUGGUUGUGACUGUGAUCUCCAGAUCGCGCGUCGGGAUUUAAAAAAAUUUGCCAUAAAGAUCCAUGCUAAUUUUGAGAGUGUAUUUUUUGUUUUUGUAUGACCAGAAAGUGACAGGUACAAAGCGCAGUAUGACACCUAUAUAUAUAUAUAUCUUCUUGGAUGUGAAUCCUAAUUCAAGAUAUUCGUGGCACCUUUGGAUGGUCUGCACCACUCUGUCUCGUAUGAACCCGAUAUCAAAAGAAGUUUGUAGGGUGAUAUGAUCUUAUUACUAUUUGCUUGUGCGAGCGUGUGACUAUAAAUUCAGUGAUCGGCGCGCGGUCGAAAUGAGUACUUGUGACCGAUUCUCACGCGCUUUGCUUGCAGU
RNAcentral lists this long non-coding RNA (2321 nucleotides) under Pomacea canaliculata. RNAcentral describes it as "uncharacterized LOC112577114, transcript variant X1". Lineage: Eukaryota; Metazoa; Mollusca; Gastropoda; Architaenioglossa; Ampullariidae. The record is from RNAcentral.